GAUUAUCUGUAGAGAGUUCUCAGAAUCCAUUUACCUAAACACUGAAGACGUUAAAAAAACAAGCAGCUUUAUCUUUUUUUUUUGUCAUGCUUAUAAACUCAAGAAUGCUAAACACAGUUAAUUUAAAACAUUAAGUUUUAAUUACAAUUAUAUGGUUAUAGAAAACAAAUUUUCCCAUUUACAUGUGUCUUAAGAAUGUUUCUUCUCAAAUGGAUGAAAGGUUAUAGUUUUAUCAUAACAAUCAACAAUGACAUGACAAGCUUCCAUUUAAUCCAUACACAGAAUCAC
RNAcentral lists this long non-coding RNA (288 nucleotides) under Carica papaya (papaya). RNAcentral describes it as "long non-coding RNA (CPAP_LNC005189)". Lineage: Eukaryota; Viridiplantae; Streptophyta; Magnoliopsida; Brassicales; Caricaceae. The record is from RNAcentral.